RNAcentral lists this ribosomal RNA (253 nucleotides) under uncultured bacterium. RNAcentral describes it as "partial 16S ribosomal RNA". It matches the Rfam family "Bacterial small subunit ribosomal RNA", at positions 524 to 776 of the family's 1533-position model. The record is from RNAcentral.
UACGAAGGGUGCGAGCGUUGUUCGGAAUUAUUGGGCGUAAAGGGUUCGUAGGCUGGAAUUUAAGUCGGGUGUGAAAUCCCAAGGCUCAACCUUGGACGUGCAUUCGAAACUAUUUUUCUUGAAUGUUGGAGAGGGAAAGGGAAUUGCUGGUGUAGGAGUGACAUCCGUAGAGAUCAGCAGGAACACCGGAGGCGAAAGCGCUUUCCUGGCCAAACAUUGACGCUGAGGAACGAAAGCGUGGGGAGCAAACAGG